CAAACAGAUUAACCAUUUGCAACUGUUACCGAUCCUCUUGACUGCACCGACGGUUUCCACGGACAACCGGCUCUGGUAGCUGCGUGGAGGAAACCUGCUAAAUAAAAUUAAUAAUUUAUUCGCAGUAAUUAAUAUUAAAUAAAAAAGAAAUUUUGUUUUAGUAAUUAUUUAAAAAGUAUUGGUAAAAUUUGUGCCAGCUACCGCGGUUAUACAAAUAAUACAAAUAAAAAUUUAUUGAUAAUAAUUAAAUUAUAUAUAAUUAAUAAAAAUAUAAAUUUAUAAAGUGAAAUUUUUUAAUUUAUUAAAUAUUAAUAAAUUUAUUAAUUGAAGUUAUAAAAAUUUUAUAAUAAACUAGGAUUAGAUACCCUAUUAUUAAAAUUAAAUAAUAAUAAUAUCGAAGUAGUAUUAGUUAUGUUCUUAAAAUUUAAAAAAUUUGGCGGUAUUUUAGUCUAUUCAGAGGAAUCUGUUCUGUAAUUGAUAAUCCACAUUGAACCUUACUUAAAUUUGUUUAAUUUGUAUAUCGCCGUCAUCAGAAUAUAUUAUAAGAUAUAAUUUUCUAAAUAUUUUAAAAAAUAAAAUGUCAGGUCAAGGUGCAGUUUAUAUUUAAGUAGAAAUGGAUUACAAUAAAUUUAUUUUUGAAUAAUUUAUUGAAAUAUAAAUUUGAAAUUGGAUUUGAUAGUAAAAAAAAAUAGAUUAUUUUUUUGAUUUUAGCUCUAAAAUAUGUACAUAUCGCCCAUCGUUCUUAUUUUUAAAAUAAGAUAAGUUGUAACAUAGUAGAUGUACUGGAAAGUGUAUCUAGAAUGAC
Molecule: non-coding RNA, 805 nt
Filed under: Sabethes tarsopus
Lineage: Eukaryota; Metazoa; Arthropoda; Insecta; Diptera; Culicidae
Source: RNAcentral